CAGUCGCCGCGGGAAUACGAAGGGUGCAAGCGUUACUCGGAAUUACUGGGCGUAAAGCGUGCGUAGGUGGUGGUUUAAGUCCGUUGUGAAAGCCCUGGGCUCAACCUGGGAAUUGCAGUGGAUACUGGGUCACUAGAGUGUGGUAGAGGAUAGUGGAAUUUCCGGUGUAGCAGUGAAAUGCGUAGAGAUCGGAAGGAACAUCUGUGGCGAAGGCGACUAUCUGGGCCAACACUGACACUGAGGCACGAAAGCGUGGGGAGCAAACAGGAUUAGAGACCCCGGUAGUCCCUGUCUCUUAUAA
RNAcentral lists this ribosomal RNA (301 nucleotides) under uncultured bacterium. RNAcentral's name for it is "partial 16S ribosomal RNA". It matches the Rfam family "Bacterial small subunit ribosomal RNA", at positions 509 to 809 of the family's 1533-position model. The record is from RNAcentral.